RNAcentral lists this transfer RNA (72 nucleotides) under Phycisphaerae bacterium. Its description in RNAcentral is "tRNA-Gly". It matches the Rfam family "tRNA". Rfam says of the family: Transfer RNA (tRNA) molecules are approximately 80 nucleotides in length. Their secondary structure includes four short double-helical elements and three loops (D, anti-codon, and T loops). Lineage: Bacteria; Pseudomonadati; Planctomycetota; Phycisphaerae. The record is from RNAcentral. RNAcentral also lists the same sequence under 1 other name.
GCGGGCGUAGCUCAGUGGUAGAGCGCUACCUUGCCAAGGUAGAAGUCGAGAGUUCAAGUCUCUUCGCCCGCU